This 1309-nucleotide ribosomal RNA is filed under the name metagenome. Its description in RNAcentral is "SSU rRNA". It matches the Rfam family "Eukaryotic small subunit ribosomal RNA", at positions 483 to 1774 of the family's 1831-position model. The record is from RNAcentral.
AUACCGGAUCUUAUGGUCUGGUAAUUGGAAUGAGUACAAUUUAAAUCCAUUAGCAAGGAUCCAUUGGAGGGCAAGUCUGGUGCCAGCAGCCGCGGUAAUUCCAGCUCCAAUAGCGUAUACUAAAAUUGUUGCAGUUAAAAAGCUCGUAGUUGGAUUUCUGGCAUCGAGGAGCCUGUUCCGGUCCCUGCCUGCAGCAAUGUGGGUGGGUGUACUGUGCGAACGGUGACUUCUCUGCCAUCAUUCGUGGAGAACCGUCUGGCUCUUCAUUGAGUUGGGCGGCAAUCCCGAUCUAUUACUUUGAAAAAAUUAGAGUGUUCAAAGCAGGCUUAUGCUGUGAAUACAUUAGCAUGGAAUAAUGAAAUUAGGACUUGCGUCCUAUUUUCGUUGGUUUCUAGGUUGCAAGCCACGAUUGAUAGGGACAGUUGGGGGUGCUAGUAUUCAACGGCCAGAGGCGAAAUUCUGUGAUUCGUUGAGGACUAACAAAUGCGAAAGCAUUCACCAAGGAUGUCUUCUUUAAUCAAGAACGAAAGUUGAGGGAUCGAAGACGAUCAGAUACCGUCGUAGUCUCAACCAUAAACAAUGCCAACUAGGGAUUGGUGGACGUUAGAAAUUAAUCAUGACUCCAUCAGCACCUUAAGAGAAAUUAAGAGUCUUUGGGUUCCGGGGGAAGUCCGAUCGCAAGGUUGAAACUUAAAGGAAUUGACGGAAGGGCACCACCAGGAGUGGAGCCUGCGGCUUAAUUUGACACAACACGGGAAAACUUGCCAGGUCCAGACAUAGUGAGGAUUGACAGAUUGAAGAUCUUUCUUGAUUCUAUGGGUGGUGGUGCAUGGUCGUUCUUAGUUGGUGGAGUGAUUUGUCUGGUUAAUUCCGUUAACGAACGAGACCUCAGCCUACUAAAUAGCAGGCACAAUCCUUUAACCGGGAUUGCGUUCCUGCUUCUUAGAGGGACUUUUGGUGUUUAGCCAAAGGAAGUUUGAGGCAAUAACAGGUCUGUGAUGCCCUUAGAUGUUCUGGGCUGCACGUGCGCUACACUGUUGUGUUCAACGAGCUUACACAACCUUGAUCGAGAGGUCUGGGUAAUCUUUGAAAGCACAACGUGAUGGGGCUAGAUCAUUGUAAUUAUUGAUCUUCAACGAGGAAUUCCUAGUAAGCGCAAGUCAUCAGCUUGCAUUGAUUACGUCCCUGCCCUUUGUACACACCGCCCGUCGCUCCUACCGAUUGAAUGAUCCGGUGAAAUCUCAGGACUAAGGCAUGGCCUGGGGCAACUCAGACCACGCUUUGGGAAUUUGAGUAAACCUUAUCAUUU